AUUGAACGCUGGCGGCAGGCCUAACACAUGCAAGUCGAGCGGAUGAAGGGAGCUUGCUCCUGGAUUCAGCGGCGGACGGGUGAGUAAUGCCUAGGAAUCUGCCUGGUAGUGGGGGAUAACGUCCGGAAACGGGCGCUAAUACCGCAUACGGCCUGAGGGAGAAAGUGGGGGAUCUUCGGACCUCACGCUAUCAGAUGAGCCUAGGUCGGAUUAGCUAGUUGGUGGGGUAAAGGCCUACCAAGGCGACGAUCCGUAACUGGUCUGAGAGGAUGAUCAGUCACACUGGAACUGAGACACGGUCCAGACUCCUACGGUAGGCAGCAGUGGGGAAUAUUAGACGAUGGGCGAAAGCCUGAUCCAGCCAUGCCGCGUGUGUGAAGAAGGUCUUCGGAUUGUAAAGCACUUUAAGUUGGGAGGAAGGGCAGUAAGUUAAUACCUUGCUGUUUUGACGUUACCAACAGAAUAAGCACCGGCUAACUUCGUG
RNAcentral lists this ribosomal RNA (484 nucleotides) under uncultured bacterium. RNAcentral's name for it is "partial 16S ribosomal RNA". It matches the Rfam family "Bacterial small subunit ribosomal RNA", at positions 30 to 507 of the family's 1533-position model. The record is from RNAcentral.